Molecule: ribosomal RNA, 466 nt
Filed under: uncultured bacterium
Lineage: Bacteria
Description: bacterial SSU rRNA
Rfam family: Bacterial small subunit ribosomal RNA
Source: RNAcentral
GCCAGACUCCUACGGGAGGCAGCAGUGAGGAAUAUUGGUCAAUGGGCGCUAGCCUGAACCAGCCAAGUAGCGUGAAGGAUGACUGCCCUAUGGGUUGUAAACUUCUUUUAUAUGGGAAUAAAGUGCAGUAUGUAUACUGCUUUGCAUGUACCUUAUGAAUAAGGAUCGGCUAACUCCGUGCCAGCAGCCGCGGUAAUACGGAGGAUCCGAGCGUUAUCCGGAUUUAUUGGGUUUAAAGGGUGCGUAGGCGGACGCUUAAGUCAGCGGUAAAAUUGCGGGGCUCAACCUCGUCGAGCCGUUGAAACUGGGUGCCUUGAGUGGGCGAGAAGUACGCGGAAUGCGUGGUGUAGCGGUGAAAUGCAUAGAUAUCACGCAGAACUCCGAUUGCGAAGGCAGCGUACCGGCGCCCAACUGACGCUGAAGCACGAAGGCGUGGGUAUCGAACAGGAUUAGAUACCCCAGUACG